AAAGAAGUCGUCUGGUAUUGAAAGAUCAAGUUUUAGACAGAAUCGGCUUGGUAAACCACAUUUUUGUAUUGAAAUGAUCCAUGAACAGAGGAUCGACAGAAGCGAAGCUAGAAUCACACCAUCAGAAGUAGGUCCAAGCAUUCCUCUUUGGGGUAGGUGGGCGGUAAAGGUAUAACACUAAGAUUUACUCGUUCGAUAAAAAAGAUCAAAGUUAUGGCCAUGCCUCUGAGAUAGCAAAAUAGCCCGGACAUUCAUUCAUUUAGUGCAGUUACGAUGUCAUUGCCUAGAUUUUCCUACUCAUUUAUGGUUUGAUCACAUAAGUCAAUAGCUCGGGAACGAAG
This 341-nucleotide unclassified non-coding RNA is filed under the name Hevea brasiliensis (rubber tree). Lineage: Eukaryota; Viridiplantae; Streptophyta; Magnoliopsida; Malpighiales; Euphorbiaceae. The record is from RNAcentral.